UUAAAUAAAAUUUUUAGGAAAUAUAUUUAAUUCAGAUAUGAAAAAUAUAUAUUUAUUGCGAGUUUAAAUACGAAAUUAAAUUCAUUUAAUUUUAAUUUAGUUUUUUAAACAUUUUAAAUGUAUUAAAAUUGUUUAAAUGUAUUAAAU
This 147-nucleotide small nucleolar RNA is filed under the name Drosophila persimilis. RNAcentral describes it as "snoRNA:GL28015". Lineage: Eukaryota; Metazoa; Arthropoda; Insecta; Diptera; Drosophilidae. The record is from RNAcentral.